RNAcentral lists this ribosomal RNA (576 nucleotides) under uncultured bacterium. RNAcentral's name for it is "bacterial SSU rRNA". It matches the Rfam family "Bacterial small subunit ribosomal RNA", at positions 919 to 1498 of the family's 1533-position model. The record is from RNAcentral.
GCCCGCACAAGCAGCGGAGCAUGUGGUUUAAUUCGAAGCAACGCGAAGAACCUUACCUAGACUUGACAUCCCCUGCAUAACCCAGAGAUGGGCGAAGUCCUUCGGGACAGGGUGACAGGUGGUGCAUGGUUGUCGUCAGCUCGUGUCGUGAGAUGUUGGGUUAAGUCCCGCAACGAGCGCAACCCUUAUCAUUAGUUGCUACCAUUAAGUUGAGCACUCUAGUGAGACUGCCCGGGUUAACCGGGAGGAAGGUGGGGAUGACGUCAAAUCAUCAUGCCCCUUAUGUCUAGGGCUACACACGUGCUACAAUGGUGAGUACAAAGAGAUGCAAGACCGCAAGGUGGAGCCAAACUCAAAAACUCAUCCCAGUUCGGAUUGUAGGCUGCAACUCGCCUACAUGAAGCCGGAGUUGCUAGUAAUCGCGAAUCAGCAUGUCGCGGUGAAUACGUUCCCGGGCCUUGUACACACCGCCCGUCACACCAUGAGAGUUGGUAACACCCGAAGUCCGUGAGGUAACCGUAAGGAGCCAGCGGCCGAAGGUGGGAUUGAUGAUUGGGGUGAAGUCGUAACAAGGUA